GUUUUAAUUUGAAGGUUUAGGGUUUAGAAUUGAUGUUUCGGGGUUUAGGGUUUAUAAUUGAUGUUUCGGGGUUUAGGGUUUAGUGUUGAUGAUUUAGGGUUUAGAGUUGAUGUUUUAAGUUUAGAUUAGUUAACCUUAUUUUUUUGUCUAAGUUAAUUCAAAGGUUAUAAAUGUCUUUUACCCUUCAUUAAAGAUGAGUGUAAAGUUGGUUAGUGUAAACAUGAAAAGUGUUACUUUGAAAAUGGUAUUUAUGGCAAUUUCCCAAUAACAAAUUCAUAAUGUGACUCUUAGUGUAAUAUUUUCUUUUUAAAAGGGAAAGAUACUAGUAAGCAAAGUAUUAGCUUGUUUGUGGUUCAAAUUAGAGUUUUCUACACUCUGAGUCACAUUAUGAGUCUUUAUUACGUUAUAGGACACUUUACGCUACUAGGACACUUUGGUUUUUAACUCUAUCUCCUUUGCGU
Molecule: long non-coding RNA, 461 nt
Filed under: Brassica napus (rape)
Lineage: Eukaryota; Viridiplantae; Streptophyta; Magnoliopsida; Brassicales; Brassicaceae
Description: long non-coding RNA (BNAP_LNC003428)
Source: RNAcentral